RNAcentral lists this transfer RNA (67 nucleotides) under Criibacterium bergeronii. It matches the Rfam family "tRNA", at positions 6 to 65 of the family's 71-position model. Rfam says of the family: Transfer RNA (tRNA) molecules are approximately 80 nucleotides in length. Their secondary structure includes four short double-helical elements and three loops (D, anti-codon, and T loops). The record is from RNAcentral. Lineage: Bacteria; Bacillati; Bacillota; Clostridia; Peptostreptococcales; Filifactoraceae.
GGUGUAGCUUAGCUGGUUAAAGCGCCAGAUUGUGGCUCUGGAGAUCGUGGGUUCGAAUCCCACCAUU